GUUGUCAUAGACCUUAUGUAAGUGAAAUGUUAAAUAUAACAAAUUUCAAAGAAGAGUACCGUUACGAUGAGGAGAUACACUUUCAUUGCGAGUCCGGCUUCCGCCUUCGCGGAAUCACCAGUGCCGUGUGCGGCGAUACCAACAGAUUUAAUAUUACAGUACUUCCUACUUGCGUAGAAGACACAGCUGCACCUAGACUUUGUUCUGUAUCCAGUGCCACGAUUGGAGUGUUUGUAGGAAGCAGCUUCGCUUUCGUGCUCAUUCUUUUUAUUUUAAUAACAUUCCUUAAAAGGAGAAAAUCCCCUACAAAAGAAACCAAUUACGAAAAGACAAAUAUACCUGUUCUAGAACAACAUCAUUACACAGACAUAAACCCACAAAGGGAAUCAACACAGGAAAACAAACCAUAUAGUAACAUGAAUUUUUGACAUAAGUUAGAGAACGAAGUUAUCUGGUUGACGAUUCUAUUCCAUCGUUAAGAUAAAAGUGGUUCGCCAGCACUACUCGGAGAAGGAUAUAUCAAUAAAUUUGGUUUGAACUUAGGAAUAAUAUACAGUUUGGCUCGUGUUCUGAGACGAGUAAGGACACGUGCCUUCUUGAUAUGAACAUUAAUGUCGUUUUAUAUAACAUGUAUAAUUAAUGAGACAUUUUAUGAAAUUAAAAUUUUGUGUCAUCAAUGUC
Long non-coding RNA from Saccostrea echinata, 681 nucleotides. RefSeq lists it as uncharacterized. The record is from RefSeq and is a predicted model, not a curated record. NCBI's taxonomy places the organism in Eukaryota, Metazoa, Mollusca, Bivalvia, Ostreida, Ostreidae. The transcript has 4 exons.